GUUGCAUGGCUGUCGUCAGCUCGUGUCGUGAGGCGUCCACUUAAGUGUGGUAACGAGCGCAACCCUUAUCCCGUGUUACAAGUGUCACGGGAGACUGCCUUGCUUUUUGCAGGGAGGAAGGAGAGGACGACGUCAAGUCAGCACGACCCUUACAUCCAGGGCAACACACAUCCUACAAUGGAGCCGACAACGGGUAGCGAAGCCGCAAGGCGGAGCCAAUCCUUAUAAACGGCCCCUCAGUUCAGAUUGUUCUCUGCAAUUCGAGAACAUGAAGUCGGAAUCGGUAGUAAUCGCAAAUCAGCAGGUUGCGGUGAAUACGUUCUCGCUCCUUGUACACACUGCCCGUCAAACCAGCAAAGUUAGUAGCGCCCGAAGCGGGUGACCGUAACUCGCAAGAGAACGGCUCUUCUACGGCGAGAUUAGCGAUGAGGGUUAAGUCGUAACAAGGUAUCGGUACUGGAAGGUGCUGAUGGAUCACCUCCUUUCUAAGGAGA
Molecule: ribosomal RNA, 494 nt
Filed under: Minisyncoccota bacterium
Lineage: Bacteria; Bacillati; Minisyncoccota
Description: bacterial SSU rRNA
Rfam family: Bacterial small subunit ribosomal RNA
Source: RNAcentral